Molecule: ribosomal RNA, 393 nt
Filed under: uncultured bacterium
Lineage: Bacteria
Description: bacterial SSU rRNA
Rfam family: Bacterial small subunit ribosomal RNA
Source: RNAcentral
AUUGAACGCUGGCGGCAUGCUUUACACAUGCAAGUCGAACGGCAGCACGGGGGCAACCCUGGUGGCGAGUGGCGAACGGGUGAGUAAUACAUAGGAACGUGUCCUGAAAUGGGGGAUAGCUCGGCGAAAGCCGGAUUAAUACCGCAUACGAUCCACGGAUGAAAGCAGGGGAUUCGCAAGAACCUUGCGUUUCUGGAGCGGCCUAUGUCUGAUUAGCUAGUUGGCGGGGUAAAAGCCCACCAAGGCGACGAUCAGUAGCUGGUCUGAGAGGAUGAUCAGCCACACUGGGACUGAGACACGGCCCAGACUCCUACGGGAGGCAGCAGUGGGGAAUUUUGGACAAUGGGGCAACCCUGAUCCAGCCAUGCCGCGUGAGUGAAGAAGGCCUCGGUU